GUAAGUGGAACUGCAAACAUGGAAUGAAUAAGAAAAAAAAGGGACAUUCAAUGUUGUAUAGGCUGUUCUGUUGUGUGUUCUGUGUGUUCUGUUGCCCUUAAGUUUAGACCAAACCUGAAUCGCAGCAUGAAGUGAUUUACUGAUAAAGAAAGUUUAUGUAACAGUGCAUGGUUUCUGAACCUAAAAUUCAGCAGCGUGUGAACGGGACUUUUAUUUUGAUCCGUCAGUGACAUCACAUGGCUGGACCGCUCUCCUCUGGCUCAACAAAGGAGCAAGAAACUGAGAACAUCUGAAAUCUGUGUGACAUACUAUUAUCAAGAUGGCAUUUAUUAAAGAGGAGAUCGAAGACGUGAGCAUUUCAGAAACAUUCAGAGUGAAAAAUGAAGAUGCAGAGGAUGACACAGCCAUCCAGCUAAACAAGACUGUCAACAUACUCUCAGCAGUUUUUUAACAGCACAUGUAAGUGUGUCAUGUUCUGUUCAGCUGAUGAUACUUCUCUUCUAUUCUCCACUACGCAGAUGCUGUCACACCCCACAGACUCAUCAUCUGCAAAGAUCAACUGCCACUCAUUUUUACAAAAAUACACAUAAUGAUGGAUGUGAACACAUCACAGGCAGCUGCAAAAAAUGUUUUAAUUGGAACUUUGCCUUUGUUUCUAUUUGUAUUUGUGUGUCUAUUUGUUCUAUUAUAUUUAAUUUACAUUCAAAUGUCGUGUAAUUUUUAUGCUUUCAUGUAAUGAUUUUUUAGAGCAUUGUCAUUUUUGCUAUAAUUUCCCAUGUCAAUAAAAAACAUAAUUUACAUAACUUGCUGUCUUUUUUUUUUAAUCGUAGGAUGAUGCAAUGUAUAAACGGCCUUAGAC
Cyprinus carpio carpio is the source of this 859-nucleotide long non-coding RNA. NCBI's taxonomy places the organism in Eukaryota, Metazoa, Chordata, Actinopteri, Cypriniformes, Cyprinidae. The record is from Ensembl.